Long non-coding RNA from Quercus lobata, 709 nucleotides. RefSeq lists it as uncharacterized. NCBI's taxonomy places the organism in Eukaryota, Viridiplantae, Streptophyta, Magnoliopsida, Fagales, Fagaceae. The record is from RefSeq and is a predicted model, not a curated record. The transcript has 4 exons.
CUUCUUCUUCCCCGUUCCACUUCUCUGUCAUCCAAUACACGCCUCAUGGUCAAACCUUCGCCGUCAUCCAAAACAUUCUCCGUCGUCCAAAACAGACCCUACGGCCAAAGCCCUUCUCCAUCAUCCAAAACCCAAACCCAUAUUAGCUCCAAACAAAACCCGAUCCCAUUCCCCUUCUCCGUCGUCCAAAACGCCUCUGAAGUGAUUCACUCCAAUCGUAGAUACAGGGAUUUCACUUCCUAACCCUCAAGUGUGUUGGGUUUUGGCCGUCAACUGCAACUGAAGCCAGUCUCCUCUGUAAAGGAAGUCCAAACCCAAGGUUCCCAAAGCGGUUUAUUUAGGCUAUUAUCGGAUCGGCGUCAACCUCCGACUCAUGGUUUGAGUUUUUCACAAAGACAGUGCUCAGUAAAGGCGUUACACGCUGAGCCAAAACGUAAUGAUUUGAUGGCCCCUGGGUUUGGUAUUGUUGGCACACAAAAAGCUCAUUAGGGAGAAGCUUGCAGAAGAGGCUGAACAGAACGUCAAGCAGGGGAGGCCAAGAGGGAAUAUUACUUGGUAACAAGUAUUUCAUACUGGACUGCAUUGUUCAAGAGCUACUGCUGCAUUAAGGUUGCAUCAAUUAAGUGCUACUGCAUAUUGAGACAAACAAAUUUAAUUCUAUGCAACACUCAAUCAAAUUAAAUCAUUUUGAGUUCAAGCCUAAGGUAGA